AAAAGUGAAGGCAUGCAAGAAGACCAUGACCCAGAAGAAGAAAUCAUAACUUGGCCCUAGCCAUGCCUCCUCUGGUUCCAGCAACUUAUUUCCAACAUGACGCAGUCUGAAGACUGGAGUUUGUGGUACGCACAUCUGUGUAGCAUUGUAUUUUUUUAUUGUUUAUUUGCUCUGCUAUUGAUAAAUAAAACAGGAAAUGUUUGAUACCCCAAAUCUCAACUUAAUACAGUACAUAGAAGAAUCUUGUGUCAUACAAACUAUUAAAUAUAAUUUAUAGAACACUGUGCCAAAAUAGUAUAAUGCAGUAGUGUAAUCCCAAAAUGGAAAAUGGAAAGAGAAAAGACAAAAUAAAGCCAAGACCAGGAGAUAAAGCCUCAAAACCAUUAAUCAAAAAAGCAGGAGUCUAAAGCCAGUAAAACACAGAAUACCAAGCAAACAGACCUAAAAUGCUAAGCAAAAGUCAUAGCUGAAAAUAUAGACCCAUAACAUCACAAAAAUAGCGACAAAAAUGAAUUAUCCUCAUAAAAUAAAUAUUUUAAUGCAAACAAUAUGCACAAUGAUAUUCUGCAUACUUCAAAGCAUUUAAACCAUAACAGCAGUUAGACUGCAUCUGGAAUAGUAUGUGCUGUUCUGGUAACCACACUGGGAAAUAGGAAUAGCAUCUCUAGAAGCUGUGCAGAGAAGAGCAAACAAGUGCAUCCUUGGACUAAAUUCGUGGCCUUUUUCUAACAUCUUUGAGCAGCUAAAUUUCUUCAGCAGGCUAUAUGUUUAUUUUAUGAAAAACUGCACACAAGAUGGCAAAAAGCAGGUGAGACCUCAAAAAGAUCCACCAAUCAAGCCUUACUACUGGCAGCCUGACCCCAAAAUCCACAUGUCAGCUUUAUGCUGCACAGGCACAAAAUGUAAAAUUGCCUUUAAGUUCAAAAUAUAUAAAGCUGAGAGGAACAGUCAAAAACUCCGGCUUGAGUGACAAGUCCAAGAAGGGAUUUUUAUAUAGGCAGGGAUUUAUUUAUAACUAGCAAAAUACACGCGCUUC
This is a long non-coding RNA of Polypterus senegalus (gray bichir), 1036 nucleotides long. RefSeq lists it as uncharacterized. Lineage: Eukaryota; Metazoa; Chordata; Cladistia; Polypteriformes; Polypteridae. The record is from RefSeq and is a predicted model, not a curated record. The transcript is spliced from 3 exons.